Molecule: long non-coding RNA, 4130 nt
Organism: Triticum urartu
Lineage: Eukaryota; Viridiplantae; Streptophyta; Magnoliopsida; Poales; Poaceae
Source: RefSeq, a predicted model, not a curated record
CGCGCCCGCGUGCAGGAGGUUUUCCCCAAUCCGCACCCCGCGUUCCCCGCCAAUCCAUCACCCGCACCAGCCACCGCCCAAACCCUAGCCCCCUUUCCCCUCGAUCCCCACAACCUCUCCCGCCUCUAUCCCUCCUCCUCGCGUCACCACGGCCUCCGCCCCGGAGCCUCGCCGCCGCCUGAUAAUACUCCUCCACCAUGCUAGCCCCUCCACCUCACCUUCCUUCUUUUUGUUAUCUGCGCCCGUCAUCGAUGCCUGGUUCUAGAUCGGGCGCGGGUUAGACGAGGUCGAUGGUGGGGUGAAUGGGCAGGGGAGGCGGGGGACGAGGGCAGGCAACAGUCGGCCCGUCGCGAUGUGGUGAAGCUACAGGGAAGAGGGAGGAGGUCGGCGACAGGGUGAAGGAGCAAGCCGGCCCUCAUGGAGGCAGCGCUACCAGCCAGCUAGGGACGGUCCGGCUCGCCUCUGCUAUGCCGUGAGCGGCGGCGCUACCUCUGCCUCCAGCCUCACCUCCUCUGCCAACCAUGGGAAAAAUUUGGGGAGACCCAAGGUGAGCUUCCCCUCCGUUGCAUGACCCAAGGUGAGCUUCCCCUCUGUUGCAUGCACUCCUGAUCUCUAAAGAUUUCUGUAGCCUAAAUGCCUAUGUACCAUGUAAGCAAGCCCAACGUAAUGCACACCAUCAGCCUGAUGAAUGACCAAAUGGUUUGUUUUUGUUGCCAUAUAGACCAUUGACGGGUGUGCAGGAGCCCUUCUAAUUGGUACUCUAUGUGUGUUUUCUUUUCUUUUGUUGCAGAAUAAUAAUUCAAGUGGAUGGCCAAUGCGCCUUGUUGUUUAGCGGUAUGAUGGUCGGUGAAAGUAUGUUCUAUAUAUAUUGCAAGGAUCAUAAGAUGCUUUUACACAUGAUUGUGUGAUGCUCAGAGACAUUUUGCACAGUAGAAACUUCUUGUGAAGCUUGAUUUUAUUCAGAGCCAUAUGAUUUUUUUAUAGAAACAUGAGCAGAGUAAAAUGGACACAGCUUCUGGUACAUCUGAGGACAGUGUGAUUUAUUUUCAUAGAAUGUUGUCAUCUAUAUCUUGCUGAAGUACAGAACUAUUGCACCGACGACCACAAUGGGAUGGAUCAAGCAGCCAAGACUCAGAGUGUGGUCGACAGUGCGACUCUUCCAGCACUGAAGUUAUGUCUUUUGGGCCAAUUUCAAUUGCCUCACUACCUCUACACAUGGAUCCUGUAGGUAUUUCCUAAUGUAAGUGUCACUGUUUUUCUUCUUUAUGUACCUGGACGGGAGUGCUCAUGAGGAUGACGACAUGCUACUGAACUCAAAUUCAAAAAUGAAGUUGGGGGCCUGGGGUUUGGAGCCCCUCAGUAGAAGUGCUCAGGCGGCAUGUCACAGUUGUUUGCUGAUAAUUUACCAAGAACAAAUUUUGCUUGUCUCUAGCAUUAGGCUAUGAGCCCUAAAGCAGUUCCAGUGUGAUGAUCUACCUCUUGACUAGGAAGGGGGGAUUGAAAGAUAGCACUUGUCGUUUGAAGCAAUUAGUAUUGGACUAUUUGAGGAAGUAAAUGUUUAAACCACUAAACCUUAUAUUCUUUUGUAAAAAGGAGGGUGCAGAUAAAUAAGAGUUGUUGGCAGCAGCAACCUACACAUGUGGAAACAGUGGCUAUGGCGGCUCAAAGGGAAGUUGUGGCCGCUAGACAGCAACUCACAACUUAGUGGCAGCUCAAAGUACAUAUAAUCUAUUUCUUCUUGGAGCUAUCUACUAUAAUAUUAUGACUCGGUGCUAGCUGAAGCUUCUAUUUUCUCGCCUUUUGUGGUGGCGGUGAUUCCUUCAACUGCAGUAGUUUUUCUACGUGCCAUUGUAAGUAUAGGUUUUCUACAGUUAAGCCUCUCGCAUUGCAAAAAGCUACAUUCCCUUGUUUUUCUAUGUGCCAUUGUAAGUGUAGGUUUUCUACCGGCUUCAACAUAGAUAAUUAGCAUGCGAGAGGCUUAACUGUAGCUUUUUGCGAUGCUAGACGGACAUAUUCAGUACUGAAAAUCUAGACUGUUCUUUCCACUCUGUAACAACUUCUAUGCUUGCGCCACCAUGAUAUCAGUACAACAUUUCCCUAUAAAAUUUUGUUAGUUGCAUGUAAACUGAAUUGAUUUACCAGUAAAAAUCUGGACAACUGAUUCCAGUCGAUAAUAACCAUUGUGGCAUUACCAUGAUAUGUCAUGUAUCUGCUCUGAGUUGUAGUAUGUUGCAAAAAGUACAAUAAGAGAUAGAAUGUAUGCACUAUGGCUAGCAGUAACUUUUUUUGACUUGUACAACAUUUGAUCUAUCUAUUUUUGCAGGCUAUUCCUCUUGUUGCAACCUUUUCCCAUAGAAUCAAAAGGAAUUAGAUUGAAGAAAUUGCAGGAGAGCAGGAAGGGUAUUCCUGGUGUGACAUUCAAAAGCAGUCAAAACGGUGAGGUUUAGAACGGAGGAGCUCCGUGGAAUUGUGGAUAAAAAAUUAUCCAUAACAUGUCUGUCAUUGCUCAUGUCGACCACGGUAUGUGACCGAGCAGUGACAGUUGUCUCUAAUUAUCAAUCUUAUAUAGAGUCUUCUUGAUUGAUGAUUUUGUAGCCUUCUCUUAGCUGUACCAUAUUAAUUCUUAAAAUUGGAUCAUUUAAAAUUAGUUAGAUUUAAUGAUUUGUUCCACUGUUUUCAAAUAAGUAGUUUAAGCCCUUAUUGUGUUCUGGAGCUUAUUCUUUCUACCUUUUUAUGAUUGAUUUAUGCUCUCACAAGCUUAAAUGUAACUAUUGACAUAUAAUCUCAUGGCUCAAAGUCUUAGUUGUUGAAUGUAUUAAAAUUUAUAAGACCUGGAGUUUGCACUAUAAUUUCAUCCAGCGGUAUUCCCAGUAACUGAAUGUUAAGAGCACUGACGAUCCCAGGUUGUACAUUUAGGUACUGGGAAAUGCUUUUAUCUUGCAGGCCAGUUUUACAUUUAUUUUUCAGUAACGAGAUGACCAUGAACAGGGUAUCAAGGUAUUUGCCUUGGCAUUACUAACGUCGUGUUCAGAUUACUAAAAGAAGGAUUGAUAACGGCAUACCUUAACUCGACUGAUGCUUUAACUGCUGCCUCUCUAAGCCUUGAUUAGCCAUGGAGAUACUCAAGUUCCAAAGCCCCAAGUGAGGCUAUCCUUCUAAGAUCCGUUCAUCCCAGUUCAUUAAUUUGUUUGAAAUAUAUAUGUAUAUUCCAAUAUUGCUCAAUCUCCAGCUGGCCUCUAGGUUAUCAGAUGAAAUCCGGUUAAAUUUUAGGGAGGUUGACUAGGAGUGUUUGGAACUAAAGGCUUUGUUGUUGUUGUUUGAGUAGGAGUAUCCCCCUUUUCUGUAUAAAUUUUGUUGCUAUGAAUAGUUGCAUUGUUACGUCAGUGAAAAGUUCCUGGGCAUAGUAUGUGUUCCUCUAGACUUGGUUGAAAGUAUUCCUUCUGUUAUCCAGUUUCUCACUACGCAUGUUACCUUUGUUGCUGAAUUUUGCCUAUAGUUUAUAUAUAGUAGACUCACAUGAUUACCUGACGACUCAUUCACGCAAGAACUAUUGUUAAUUUUUUCCUUUUCUGCAAUGAUGGUCGUAGCCCUUUGACUCUACAAGCCGCAAAGGAGUGAAGUGUAGAAAAUAUGUCCAUUGUCGUUGAAUUGGUGGGAUUGUCACCAAGUUAGUGCUGCAGAUUUCUAUUUUAGAGCAAGAAGCCAAAUCAUGUAGUUCAUUGUAAAUCUUGAAAAACUUAUUUAUUGUCACUUCUAUAUCUGUUAUAAACUUUUUUUUUGUGAUGUGCUACUUGUCAAUCUUGGUUUGACCUUCCAUUUCAAGUCUGCCCUUAAAUUCCAGUAGACCAAAAAGUCCUUGUUUUUUCAAUUGGUUUCUCGUUUCAUGUUUGCACUUCUAUUACAGUACAACAUUUCAUAAACAUGGCAUUGGUCAUUGUUUGUCCAGUUCCCUUCAAAAAAAGAAGAGAUGGCUAUAGAGAGUUCAUCCUUCUAACAUAACAGAGCAGAGGAGUGGGAACUAUAAACAUGCCUCAGUGAAGAGAUAAAAAAUGUUGUGCAAGGCAUUGGUUGUUAAGCUCCUUUAAAAAAUGAAGGAAUUAUAGUGCAUCUGACCUAUAAAGGGGUUGUGA